AAUCAACGCUGGCGGCGCGCUUAACACAUGCAAGUCGAACGAGAAAGCCCGCAAGGGUGAGUAAAGUGGCGUACGGGUGAGUAACACGUGGAUGAUCCACCUCUUAGUGGGGAAUAACUCUGGGAAACUGGAGAUAAUACCGCAUAAGCCUGGGAAGGGAAAGCGUUAUUUGAAAAGAUGACGCGCUGAGAGAGGAGUCCGCGGCCGAUUAGCUAGUUGGCAGGGUAAAAGCCUACCAAGGCGAUGAUCGGUAGCCGGCCUGAGAGGGCACACGGCC
RNAcentral lists this ribosomal RNA (277 nucleotides) under uncultured bacterium. RNAcentral describes it as "partial 16S ribosomal RNA". It matches the Rfam family "Bacterial small subunit ribosomal RNA", at positions 32 to 309 of the family's 1533-position model. The record is from RNAcentral.